Molecule: ribosomal RNA, 1337 nt
Filed under: Acinetobacter sp. Cantas1
Lineage: Bacteria; Pseudomonadati; Pseudomonadota; Gammaproteobacteria; Moraxellales; Moraxellaceae
Description: bacterial SSU rRNA
Rfam family: Bacterial small subunit ribosomal RNA
Source: RNAcentral
ACAUUGAGAAGGCUACCUGCAGUCGAGCGGAGAUGAGGUGCUUGCACCUUAUCUUAGCGGCGGACGGGUGAGUAAUGCUUAGGAAUCUGCCAUUUAGUGGGGGACAACAUCUCGAAAGGGAUGCUAAUACCGCAUACGUCCUACGGGAGAAAGCAGGGGAUCUUCGGACCUUGCGCUAAAUGAUGAGCCUAAGUCGGAUUAGCUAGUUGGUGGGGUAAAGGCCUACCAAGGCGACGAUCUGUAGCGGGUCUGAGAGGAUGAUCCGCCACACUGGGACUGAGACACGGCCCAGACUCCUACGGGAGGCAGCAGUGGGGAAUAUUGGACAAUGGGCGGAAGCCUGAUCCAGCCAUGCCGCGUGUGUGAAGAAGGCCUUUUGGUUGUAAAGCACUUUAAGCGAGGAGGAGGCUACUUAGAUUAAUACUCUAGGAUAGUGGACGUUACUCGCAGAAUAAGCACCGGCUAACUCUGUGCCAGCAGCCGCGGUAAUACAGAGGGUGCGAGCGUUAAUCGGAUUUACUGGGCGUAAAGCGUGCGUAGGCGGCUGAUUAAGUCGGAUGUGAAAUCCCUGAGCUUAACUUAGGAAUUGCAUUCGAUACUGGUCAGCUAGAGUAUGGGAGAGGAUGGUAGAAUUCCAGGUGUAGCGGUGAAAUGCGUAGAGAUCUGGAGGAAUACCGAUGGCGAAGGCAGCCAUCUGGCCUAAUACUGACGCUGAGGUACGAAAGCAUGGGGAGCAAACAGGAUUAGAUACCCUGGUAGUCCAUGCCGUAAACGAUGUCUACUAGCCGUUGGGGCCUUUGAGGCUUUAGUGGCGCAGCUAACGCGAUAAGUAGACCGCCUGGGGAGUACGGUCGCAAGACUAAAACUCAAAUGAAUUGACGGGGGCCCGCACAAGCGGUGGAGCAUGUGGUUUAAUUCGAUGCAACGCGAAGAACCUUACCUGGCCUUGACAUAGUAAGAACUUUCCAGAGAUGGAUUGGUGCCUUCGGGAACUUACAUACAGGUGCUGCAUGGCUGUCGUCAGCUCGUGUCGUGAGAUGUUGGGUUAAGUCCCGCAACGAGCGCAACCCUUUUCCUUAUUUGCCAGCGAGUAAUGUCGGGAACUUUAAGGAUACUGCCAGUGACAAACUGGAAGGAAGGCGGGGACGACGUCAAGUCAUCAUGGCCCUUACGGCCAGGGCUACCAACGUGCUACAAUGGUCGGGACAAAGGGUUGCUACCUAACGAAAAGGAUGCUAAUUCCAAAAAGCCGAACGGAAUCCCGGAUUGGGAGCUCGCAUCUCCGACCUCUCGAAUAGCCGGAACCCCUCAAAUACCGCGCAGACAAUAAAGCCCUG